Molecule: ribosomal RNA, 429 nt
Filed under: uncultured bacterium
Lineage: Bacteria
Description: bacterial SSU rRNA
Rfam family: Bacterial small subunit ribosomal RNA
Source: RNAcentral
GUGGGGAAUAUUGGACAAUGGGCGAAAGCCUGAUCCAGCCAUCCCGCGUGAGUGAUGAAGGCCCUCGGGUCGUAAAGCUCUGUGGGGAGGGACGAAAAAGCGUCGGUUAAUACCCGGCGAACUGACGGUACCUCUUUAGCAAGCACCGGCUAACUCCGUGCCAGCAGCCGCGGUAAUACGGAGGGUGCAAACGUUGCUCGGAAUCAUUGGGCGUAAAGCGCACGUAGGCGGUUCGAUAAGUCGGAUGUGAAAGCCCUAGGCUUAACCAAGGAAGUGCAUUCGAAACUGCCGAACUUGAGUAUGGGAGAGGAUUGCGGAAUUCUCGGUGAAGAGGUGAAAUUCGUAGAUAUCGGGAGGAACACCAGUGGCGAAGGCGGCAAUCUGGACCAAUACUGACGCUGAGGUGCGAAAGCGUGGGGAGCAAACAGG